GGAUAGACCUGACGGUCAUAAUCCAUAAAUUUAAAGUAGAUCCUGACCGCAAGCCGAUAAUAACCAGUAAAAAGGUGGCUGAGAUCAUAUGCGAUAAGCCCAUAUUGACUUGUAGUCCUAGAUCACGUGGUACCCAUACGCUCAGAUUAGUAAUAGGAAGAGAAUGGGUCUCUCGGCCUGAUGCCUCUGGAAUUGAAGGUUAUCUUUCUAGAGGCUCACGUGGCGGCAUGGUGAGAGGACUCGUACAAAGGUAUCUGUAAAGGGA
Molecule: unclassified non-coding RNA, 265 nt
Filed under: Hevea brasiliensis (rubber tree)
Lineage: Eukaryota; Viridiplantae; Streptophyta; Magnoliopsida; Malpighiales; Euphorbiaceae
Source: RNAcentral